This is a long non-coding RNA of Lytechinus pictus (painted urchin), 443 nucleotides long. RefSeq lists it as uncharacterized. NCBI's taxonomy places the organism in Eukaryota, Metazoa, Echinodermata, Echinoidea, Temnopleuroida, Toxopneustidae. The record is from RefSeq and is a predicted model, not a curated record. The transcript is spliced from 3 exons.
UCCAGAUAAAUUACGUCAUUGCCCACAUAUUUUCUGAUCAAGCGACAAAUCGCCUGCGGUGAUAGUCUAUGGGAGUUUACGUGUUAAAUGUAAAAUCGCACAUACACGUAGGUCUACGUGUAUUAUCUGCUGAAGAGAGGUGACUGAAGGAGGACUUGAUCUUGUCAUUCUUGGUCUGAUAACCAACAUGGAAGAAGCCCUUAUCCUAGAAGUGUAGGAAAAUCCAAUCCUGUAUGACAAGAGAUUGGAGAUGUUCAAGGAUACAGAAGUAAAAAAUUAUGUAUUACAUGACAUUGGGCGUCAGCUUGCAAUCUCAGGUGACGUAGCGAGUUGAGGGACAACUUCCUAAAAAAACGACAGAAAAUGGAGAGGAAGAGUGGUGACGGAGCUCCCUCAAAUGCAGCACGUAAAUACAAGUACAGUGAGGCAAUGUAAUUCCUACU